AUGAGGCAAGUUUUGUUUCAGAGAAACUCUAACGAGCAGUCCACCUGCUUGGCUUUAGCAUUGAACAACUCAUGGCGUCAGUGUGCGGGGUUGAUGGAGAGAGACUGAAACACAACAUCUGUGUUUGCAUUGAUGAGUGCAGAGAGAAGCUGUACGGUUUAAGUCGGGACAUCUGGAGCAGACCGGAGCUGGCCUACAAAGAAAAGCAGAGCCAUGACUUGCUCGUUCGCUUCUUUUCGGAGGCGGGCGGCUGGAGCGUUGAACCCAGCUACAUUUUAGAGACGGCUUUCCGGGCGACUUGGUGUCUCGGCGCUCAGAAGAACCUCAAAGUCGUAAAUGUUGGUUUCUUGUGCGAAUACGACGCCCUGCCUGGUCUCGGUCACGCGUGUGGCCAUAAUCUCAUCGCAGAGGUUGGUGUAGCUGCAGCAUUCGGCCUGAAGGGGGCGUUCGAGAGUCAGGCAGACAUUCCUGUGAAGAUAACAGUUCUGGGAACCCCUGCUGAAGAGGAAGGAGGAGGUAAAAUAGACCUGAUCCAGGCUGGAGCGUUUGCAGACAUGGAUGUUGUGCUCAUGGCUCAUCCCUCCCAGGAAGAUAAAGCCUUCCAUCCCUGCACUUCCAUAAAAGAUUGCACUGUAAAGUAUUAUGGGAAAGCCUCUCAUGCUGCUGCUUACCCAUGGGAGGGUGUCAAUGCGCUGGACGCUGCUGUGCUUGCUUACAGCAGCUUGUCCGUGCUGAGGCAGCAGCUGAGGCCAGAUUGGAGGCUGCAUGGCAUUAUCAAGCAUGGUGGAACAAAGCCUAACAUUAUUCCAGACUACACAGAGAUGGAUUAUUAUAUGCGUACACCGCUGCUCAAAGACCUUCCUGACCUCAAAGAUAAAGUAGAGGCAUGCUUCAGAUCAGCUGCCAUAGCAACCGGCUGUCAAGUGGAAAUAACAUAUCCUCACCCAGCCUAUUCCAACAUCCUUCCAAAUCCUUCCUUGGAAAAACACUAUGAAGAGAAUGGCAGAGCUCUAGGCAUGGAGUUCAAAGAAGGAGGCAGUAAUUUUUCCGGCUCCACAGACUUCGGCAAUGUGUCCUAUGUUGUCCCUGGAAUUCACCCUUUCUUUUACAUCGGGACUGAGGCACUGAACCACACACUUGAGUAUGCAACAGCUGCAGGCUCAGAGAAAGCACAGAUGUACACGCUGAGGACAGCCAAAGCUCUGGCCAUGACGGCUGCUGAUGUGCUUUUGAACCCAACCUUACUCAAGCAGGUCAAAGAGGAGUUCAUAGUUGCCAAAUGCUCACAAGAGCAAAAAAGCCAAUAAGGCAUUUACUCCAUAAACAGGUAUGACUUAACACAUUGAAGCAUUGCCUUAUAUCAUGUACAUUGUGAUAUAUCACGUUCAUUUCUUCUCCUGUUGUGCACCAUAUCAGAGUACCCUGAAGUUCCAGUAACAGACUGCAUCAUAACAUAGCAUAGAGGAAGACGAACACAAAGCUGACCCAUAAGUAGAUGUCCACUGCUUUGAUGUAGGACACACGCGGCAUGGAGGCGUUGACCCCAGUGAUGAUAGUGGACAUUGUAAGAACCGUAGUGAUACCUGAGCGAAAGCAAAGAAUUGUAUGACGCUUCUUUUUGCAAGUCCUGUAGUAUCACAACUGAUUUCACAGAUUUCUUAAUAACCUGAAUGAAAUGUGAAAUUGAAUUGUUUUGUCUAAUCAUAAAUCAUGUGUGUACAAUUUUGUGCAAGUUUGUAUACUUGUGAGGCUGGACGAUGCCUACAGAAUCAUGGUGGUGUUAGGCCUACCUAAAGGUACUCUAGCAGGCACAGCUCUGCGAUCAAUCCAGAAGGACACCCAGGACAGCAUGACCAUCAGCGUGGCAGGGAAGUACGUCUGCAGCAAGAAGAAGAAAAUGUGUCGCCGGAGGGUGAAAUGGAUGUACAGCCUGUUGUACCAGCCUGUGAAAUGAGAAAUACUGUUUAAUAAGCUUGACAGCAUACAGCAGGGGUCACUUCUGGGGACAGUCCAGCCAUAGAGCUUGAGUCCAGCAUGGUUUAGUGACUUUCCUGCUCUAACACACCAGCUAAUCCUGGUAAUUAACUGAUUAGUUGAAUCAGGUGUGUUUGAGCAGGGAAAUCAGCAAGCUGUGCUGGAUUAAGGCCCUUCAGCACUGGAGUUGAUGGUCACUGACAUACAGUGCAUGGCAGUUUUGAUAUUUGUUGAUAAAAUAAUGGAUUACCUGUGCUGCUGUAGAAAGCUAGCUUUGUAGUUGUGUGAAACUUUUGGAUGAGAAAUUGCGAAAGUGAAAUCCUGUCAUCUGUGUUCAAAGAUUCAUUUCCUUUCUUCCAGUACAACAUGAGGUCAUCAUCCGUGUAUGCAUCUGAAAUGACAGCAUAUUCUCUUGGACACCACUUAUGUAAACAGAGCACAGUCCUACAAAACUAGAACUUGAUUAGUGUAAUAUGGUUUUAUAUAUCAGUAAUAAGUAUUGCUUAUAUACACCUUAGUAUGUGAAAAAUGUUCUGGAUAGAGUUUUCUAAAAGCUGUGUACCAUCAUGUCACAAUCAUCACUAUUCAUCAUUACAUGCUUACUGUAAUGCUGAUUGUGUGAUACUGCUGAUUGUGCUGAUACUGUGAUACUUUGGGAAAUCAGUACUUCUAUGCAAAGUGAUUAUAAAUAAAGGAAUAUAUUUCACAUUAUCUACAUACAGCUCUCUAUCUCAAGUGAGCAGGUCUGGGUGUCCAGAGGAAAACGACUCAGGUCCAUAUUGCACAUGGCAGUGACUGUUACCCUGAAAGACACAAAGGACAUCAUCAUGUACGCUUAUUUGAUAUUAUUUUGACAGUUUCAUUCUAUUAAAUGGGAGUUAUAAUUUCUGCAUAAUUGAACUGUUAAGAUGUAAACAGUGUGUUGAUGUGAAAUUCACCAUCCCAGAGAAACUUACUGAGUAAGAAUUGUUUACAGUGGUGGUGACAGGAACCAGACGUCUGAAACAUUUAAUGCUACAUCACAGAAAACUGUUCCAUUAAAUAGUUACAAAUACUCUGUCUGAUAUCUAUAUAUAUAUAAAGCAUUGUUGUACGACCGUUUUGAGAAAAGCUUUUAAGGUAUUUUUUUAUUAUUAUUCAUUUAUGGUGAAGAGCACCUCUUUUUUCUUUUGGGACUAAUCACUGUUUUACCAUUAUCAACAUUAUAUGUUAAAACAUUACAAAGAUGAUGGGUUCUCUGCUCAUUUUGGAUACAGAAUACAAUGGCUAUAUUUGCAUUGUAGACAUCAUGAACCCUGGUUUCUAUCAGUGCCACUGUGAAGAAAUCCGAGUUGGUAGGUUUCUCUACAGUGCACCAUUUCGCAUCCAACCACUGUGAAUGUUAUGUGAAUGUUAUGAUUGAAUUAUGUAUUUUUUUUAAUUGGUGCAACAUAAAAGGGCCUCAGUAUUACAAAUCACUGUACAGUAAAGCUCAGCUAUUAGACAGAGUGUUGAAAACGAUGCUCGUUCUACCAUCUGAUGAUCUUUAAAUGAAAAGAUCCUAAAUGAAAAUCUACUGAGCAUGUUUGACUGUUUGAUGAUAGAAUGCAAAGUUAUUGAUUUUUGCCAUUCCAUGUACCAUAUAUUAACAUUAUAUUUACUGGAUUGAAUUUA
RNA transcript from Colossoma macropomum (tambaqui), 3627 nucleotides. It is a transcript of the gene named peptidase M20 domain-containing protein 2-like, with no coding region annotated. The record is from RefSeq and is a predicted model, not a curated record. The transcript has 8 exons. NCBI's taxonomy places the organism in Eukaryota, Metazoa, Chordata, Actinopteri, Characiformes, Serrasalmidae.